CUAGUAUUCCUCCGUCCAACAAAGGAUGUCUCAACUUUGACUAAAUUUGAAUUCAUCUAUACAAUAAGUCGUUUAUAGAUACAUCUAAAUUUUGAUAAACUUUAGACAUCUUUUGUUGGACGGAGGGAGUAUAAC
Non-coding RNA from Brachypodium distachyon (stiff brome), 135 nucleotides. The record is from Rfam. Lineage: Eukaryota; Viridiplantae; Streptophyta; Magnoliopsida; Poales; Poaceae.